UACGGAGGGGGCUAGCGUUGUUCGGAAUUACUGGGCGUAAAGCGCACGUAGGCGGCUUUGUAAGUUAGAGGUGAAAGCCCGGGGCUCAACUCCGGAAUUGCCUUUAAGACUGCAUCGCUAGAAUUGUGGAGAGGUAAGUGGAAUUCCGAGUGUAGAGGUGAAAUUCGUAGAUAUUCGGGAGAACACCAGUGGCGAAGGCGACUUACUGGACACAUAUUGACGCUGAGGUGCGAAAGCGUAGGGAGCAAACAGG
This 253-nucleotide ribosomal RNA is filed under the name uncultured bacterium. RNAcentral's name for it is "partial 16S ribosomal RNA". It matches the Rfam family "Bacterial small subunit ribosomal RNA", at positions 524 to 776 of the family's 1533-position model. The record is from RNAcentral.